RNAcentral lists this long non-coding RNA (32380 nucleotides) under Triticum aestivum (bread wheat). RNAcentral describes it as "long non-coding RNA (TAES_LNC003266)". The record is from RNAcentral. Lineage: Eukaryota; Viridiplantae; Streptophyta; Magnoliopsida; Poales; Poaceae.
CAGACCAUUCUAGACUAUAAGGAUUAUAAUAAUAUCACUCGUUUAUUCCAUCUUGCUUGUAAAGCUGAACGUGAAGUGCAGGAUCGACAGGCAUUGGCGCGCACUAACUUUUCUGCAGGUCGACCUUCAUCAUGGACACCACGUGCAUCAUCUACUUCCACUGCACCAUCACCUCCUUCAGGUGCCACCUCCAACCGUGGUACACGAAAGCAGGCACAACCACCACUAUCUGCCAAGAGCACACCUGCCGGACCUGCACAGAGCUCUUCUUCUUCCAUGGCGUCAACAGGGCACACCAGUGAUAUUAUUUGUCGUUGUUGUAAGGGAAGAGGACAUUUUGCGAGAGAAUGCAAAUCUCAGCGUGUGAUGAUUGCUACUGAGGAUGGUGGGUAUGAGUCCGCUAGUGACUAUGAUGAGGAGACUUUGGCUCUUAUUACACAUGAGGAACACGAUGGAGAUGAUUCUGAUCAUGAGACACAAUACAUGGCUGCUGAAGAUGCUGACAGGUAUGAAUGUUUAGUUGCUCAACGUGUUUUGAGUGUGCAGGUUACACAAGCUGAGCAAAAUCAGAGGCAUAAUUUGUUCCAUACAAAGGGAGUUGAGAAGGAACGUUCUAUUCGCGUCAUCAUAGAUGGAGGGAGCUGCAACAACUUGGCUAGCAUGGAGAUGGUGGAGAAGCUAUCUCUCACCACAAGACCACAUCCACAUCCUUACUACAUCCAAUGGUUCAACAACAGCGGCAAGGUUAAGGUAACACGUACUGUUCGUGUGCAUUUUAGUAUCUCUACAUAUGCUGAUUAUGUUGAUUGUGAGGUGGUACCUAUGCAAGCAUGUUCCUUAUUACUUGGUAGACCAUGGCAAUUUGAUAAAAAUUCUGUACACCAUGGUAGAAACAAUCAGUAUACUCUUGUUCAUAAGGAUAAAAAUAUUACUUUGCUUUUUAUGACUCCUGAUUCCAUUUUGAAAGAUGAUAUUAAUAGAGCUAAUAAAGCAAAACAGGAGAAAAAUAAGAGUGAAAAUCAGAUUGUGGCAAAAGAAUUUGAGCAACAAAUGAAGCCUAAUAGUAAACCAUCUAGUGUUGUUUCUAAAAUUAAAUUGAAAAGUGCAUGUUUACUUGCCACUAAAUCUGAUAUUGACGAGCUAGAUUUCAGCAAUUCUGUUUGCUAUGCUUUUGUGUGCAAAGAGGCAUUAUUUUCAUUCGAGGACGUGCCUUCCUCUUUCCCUCCUGCUGUCACUUACAUUUUGCAGGAGUUCGCUGAUGUCUUUCCACAAGACGUGCCACCGGGAUUACCUCCCAUUCGAGGGAUUGAACAUCAGAUUGACUUAAUUCCCGGUGCAUCAUUACCCAACCGUGCACCAUACCGUACCAAUCCAGAGGAGACGAAGGAGAUUAUGCGUCAAGUACAGGAGCUGCUCGACAAAGGUUAUAUACGCGAAUCCCUUAGUCCUUGUGCUGUUCCUAUUAUUCUAGUGCCGAAAAAGGAUGGUACAUCACGUAUGUGUGUUGAUUGUAGAGGCAUUAAUAAUAUUACUAUUCGUUAUCGUCAUCCUAUUCCUAGGCUAGAUGAUAUGCUUGAUGAAUUGAGUGGCUCUACAAAAUUCUCCAAAGUUGAUUUGCGUAGUGGAUACCAUCAAAUGCGUAUGAAAUUGGGAGAUGAAUGGAAAUCAUCAUUUAAAACUAAGUUUGGAUUAUAUGAGUGGUUAGUCAUGCCUUUUGGGUUAACUAAUGCACCUAGUACUUUCAUGAGAUUAAUGAACGAAGUUUUACGUGCUUUCAUUGGAUGAUUUGUGGUAGUUUACUUUGAUGACAUAUUGAUUUAUAGCAGAUCUUUGGAGGAACAUUUGGAACAUUUACGUGCUGUUUUUAUUGCUCUAUGUGAUGCACGUUUGUUUGCUAACCUUGGGAAGUGCACCUUUUGCACCGACCGAGUAUCUUUUCUUGGCUAUGUUGUUACUCCACAGGGAAUUGAAGUUGACAAAGCCAAGAUUGAAGCUAUUGAGAGUUGGCCGCAGCCCAAAACGGUCACACAAGUGAGGAGUUUUCUUGGCCUCGCUGGAUUCUAUAGGCGUUUUGUGAGAGAUUUCAGCACCAUUGCUGCACCUCUCAACGAGCUUACAAACAAGGAUGUGCCUUUUGUUUGGGGUACCACACAGGAAGAAGCCUUCACAGUAUUGAAAGAUAAGUUGACACAUGCUCCUUUACUCCAACUUCCUGAUUUUAAUAAGCCUUUUGAGCUUGAAUGUGAUGCUAGUGGAAUUGGAUUAGGAGGUGUGUUAUUACAAGAUGGCAAACCUGUUGCAUACUUUUCUGAAAAAUUGAGUGGGCCUAGUCUGAAUUAUUCUACUUAUGAUAAAGAAUUAUAUGCUCUUGUUUGGACUUUAGAAACAUGGCAACAUUAUUUAUGGCCCAAAGAAUUUUUUAUACAUUCUGAUCAUGAAUCUUUGAAACAUAUUAAAAGUCAAGCUAAACUGAAUCAUAGACAUGCUAAAUAGGUUGAAUUCGUUGAGAAUUUCCCUUAUGUCAUUAAACACAAGAAGGGUAAAGAAAAUUUUAUUGCUGAUGCAUUGUCUCGUCGCUAUACUGUGCUUUCACAACUUGACUUCAAAAUAUUUGGUUUGGAGACCAUCAAAGAUCAAUAUAUGCAUGAUGCUGAUUUUAAAGAUGUAUUGCAGAAUUGUAAAGAAGGAAGAACGUGGAACAAGUUCGUCGUUAAUGAUGGAUUUGUGUUCCGUGCUAACAAGCUAUGCAUUCCAGCUAGCUCUGUUCGUCUUUUGUUGUUGCAGGAGGCGCAUGGAGGAGGACUAAUGGGACACUUUGGCGUGAAGAAGACGGAGGAUGUACUUGCUACACAUUUCUUUUGGCCAAAGAUGAGACGGGAUGUUGAGUGUUUUAUUGCUCGCUGCACUACAUGUCAAAAAGCUAAGUCACGACUCAAUCCUCAUGGUUUAUAUAUGCCUUUGCCUGUACCUAGUGUUCCUUGGGAGGAUAUAUCUAUGGACUUUGUUUUAGGGUUACCUAGAACAAAGAAGGGGAUGGAUAGCAUAUUUGUCGUCAUGGAUAGAUUCUUGAAAAUGGCACACUUUAUACCAUGUCAUAAAAGCGAUGAUGUUGUUAAUGUUGCUGAUUUGUUCUUUCGUGAAAUUAUUCGCUUGCAUGGUGUGCCAAAUACUAUUGUUUCUGAUCGUGAUACUAAAUUUCUUAGCCACUUUUGGAGAUGUUUAUGGGAUAAGUUGGGGACUAAACUUAUUUUUAGUACUACUUGUCACCCCCAAACUGAUGGACAAACUGAAGUAGUCAAUAGAACAUUGUCUACUAUGCUUAGGGCUGUUUUGAAGAAUAAUAAGAAAAUGUGGGAGGAAUGCUUGCCUCAUAUUGAAUUUGCUUAUAAUCGUUCAUUGCAUUCUACUACUAAGAUGUGCCCUUUUGAAGUUGUGUAUGGUUUCCUACCUCGUGCACCUAUUGAUUUGUUGCCUCUUCCAUCUUCAGAGAAGGUUAAUUUUGAUGCUAAACAACAUGCUGAAUUGAUUUUAAAAAUGCAUGAGUUAACUAAGGAAAACAUUGAGCGUAUGAAUGCUAAAUAUAAACUUGGUGGAGAUAAAGGUAGAAAACAUGUUGUGUUUGCACCUGGAGAUCUUGUUUGGUUACAUUUGCGUAAGGAUAGAUUUCCUGAUUUGCGCAAAUCAAAGCUAAUGCCACGUGCUGAUGGUCCCUUUAAGGUGUUGGAGAAAAUAAAUGAUAAUGCAUAUAAACUUGAGCUGCCUGCAGAUUUUGGGGUUAGUCCCACUUUUAACAUUGCAGAUUUGAAGCCUUAUUUGGGUGAGGAAGAUGAACUUCCGUCGAGGACGACUUCAUUUCAAGAAGGGGAGGAUGAUGAGGACAUCAAUACCAUUGUUACACCCACAACCCCUGCUGUUAUACAUACUGGACCAAUUACUAGAACUCGCGCACGCCAACUAAAUUACCAGGUACUUUUGUUUCUUGGUAAUGAUUCUAAUGUUCAUGAGAAUAUGAUGCUGCCUAAAUUGGAUACAUUUGUUUUGCUUACAAAUGAAGGGCCUAGGUUGGAGAAGGAUGAACAUUGGAGCAAGAACAAGCAUGGAGAUGAUGGCAUGCAGAAGGGGAACAAGAACGGAGUUACAAGUGAUGAUUUCAGGACUUUGAAGCCACCAUAAUGAGUACAUGAAGCCUUGGACGAAAUAUACAAGAUGCCACUUCAUAAACUUCGUCCAGAGGCUAUUCUAGGUGCUGCGUCACCUUAUUAUUGGGCCAGGCCCAUGUAAUUUCGAAAUACAUAAGUAUAGGCUGUUUUUAGAGUCCGUAUGUGUGGGGAAACAAGAGAUAGGGUUGGUUUCGGACCCCUUCCCCAAGGGCCACGAAAUUCCCCCCCCCCUCUUUCUCCAUAUAUACAGCCCUUAGGGCACCGUUUAGACUUUGGGUUUUGCUUAGAUUAAAAGUUCGCCAUAGCUGCAACUUCGCGCACUUCCUUUGUGUUCAACGACCAGACCAACGCGUCACAGAACCCCACCUUGAUCAAUAAAGCUUUCAUCUUAUAUUCGCAAUAUCCAGAUUGCAAUCUCAGUUUCUUGCUUGUUCUUCAGUUGCUCACAGGAAACAAACCCUCGUGGUCAAGUUGAUCGUGCUCUGGCGUGGUCAAUAACCUCUCAGAGUUGGUUUAGCGAUUGCUAAGGCGCGACGUCCUCGCACGUUCGUAGUCGGAUCGUCAAAGUCGAUUUCCACCAAAGCGAUAUCCAUCAUCUCAUCGAAAGAUGGGACACCUUUGCCUCUAUCAGUAUCCCCCCUCUCACUUACCCCUUCGUGGGCUAACACUAUAUAUAGACCCCCACCUCCUCCUAGUUAGGGUUAGCAAAGGAUUAGCUCAUAUUUUGUGUGAGAGCCUUGAUCAUCCUCUUGGUUACUUCUCCUCGGAGCUCAGGACCUCUACGGAGAAGAUCCCCCAAGCGGAUUCAAGACCCCUUCAAGGGAAGACCAUCUAGACCUCCUCACGGAGAAGAACCCGGUUACCUCUUGUAUCGUCCUUUGUUGACUUUGGAUCGUGUAUCUUACCUUUGUGUUCAUCGAUCUAGCACAUGUGUGAUCUAUUCUUGUUGGUUGAGUGAUUUCUCUCAUGUUCCCCUUGUGUUUCCUCGUGUUUCCCCUCGUGUUCAUCACGUUCUUCGUAGUGAUCCGCUCCUUUCGUGAAAGAUCGGCCAUCUAGGGUUCCACCCUACAUCAAUUAGACUAUCUUCAAGCCCCCAUCUCCUUGGGAUUUGGGAUGAACUUUGCCAUUGUAUCUUUCCUUUGAUUGUGUUUGUGACUCGUGGAUCUUGUGUUGGUACUCUAGUGGAUGUGUAAUCGGGAAUUGUUGGAGUGAUUUCCUCUUUGUGUUCUUGUUGUGUUCUUGUGGUUUCUCUCCUUUUCCCCCUCCAAGUGUGAGAAGAUCCCUCCUAGGGUUCUACCCUACAUCAUCUUGGUAUCAUGAGCCACGUUGAUUCACAUCCUUGAGUCCCUACCUUCCACUUUCUAGCUUGAUUUCGUUGUUUUUCGUCCUAAUCCGAAAACCCCCACCAAAAAAUAGCCCCAAAAUUUUUCUUGCAAUUUGUUUGAUCUUGUGAGAUUUGGUUGUUUUGAUCCACGAAUUUGGAGUUUGGCAAGUGGAUCUAGCCCCCCCCACCACCACCAUCUUCCCCACCCUCUAAAUCCUUGAAUUUGACCAAAAACUUGGAAAUGCCCACGGAUCCAGAGCAGUUCAUCCGCCCUCGGAGGACCCCGUGCACACGGGACCCCGUGCGCACGGGCUAUCGAGGAACUUCGGCCAUUUUUCUGUUUUUCCCCAUUUCCUUCCCCACCACCUCUUGUGUUCUUCCGCACUAUUUCUCGUGGUUGUUUGAGUUUCGGACCGUGAAUUCUCUUGUGUCCUAAGGUGUUUUGGCUACUUAGGCGCAUUUGGGACAUCAUCGCCACUCGAUCAUCAACUCGGACGGUAACCUCGACGACUCUCACCCUUGCUUUUGCAUUGAUAACUCGAGCCAUUUCGCGUAGCUUACCCAUCGAGACUAGCUUGUUGAGUAUUGCGGGGCCACGCCUUAGUGCACCAUUUAGUGUUCCGUCCAUCCCGUGCAUUUACUACUUGUUACCUCGUUGUGUGGCUCGUAUAUCAAGCAUCAUGGCAUAGUAAAAAAAAGAUUUUAAGUAAAAGAGAAGAGAAGCAAAGAGCUUAUAAGCAAUAGCAUCGAGCCUGUUAGCAUACGGGCAUCAUCUUGGUCAUCACAUACAUAAGCAUACUUGGGAUAGUGAGACGAGCAGUUUCUCUAUUAGAUUGGUGCACUAGCGUAUCUCACCCAUUAGUGCAAUCGAGCUAGCAUCUCUCUAGUAUCCGUACGAAAAGAGCUUUUCCCAUGGUUCGACAUCUUAAAGCUCACCCUUGGUUGUGUGGAUCCCAUUUAUCUUCCGUGUGUGUGUUCCUCGUGUUGCCUUUGGAGGUUGAUCUAUUUGUCUUGCUAGGCAUUUGUGUAUCUUCUCAACUUUAUCAACAUCUUGACUAACAUUUGCUUGAAUUAUUUGUGCCUUUCCUAACCGAGCUCCUCCUUAAGCCAUUUACUUGUAGGUGUGAGAAACAAUUCCCGAUACCAAUUCUCCUAUUGUAACAUCACGUGGUAUCGUACUUGUUACAUCCACAAUUUUCGGGAAAGGUAACUUUGGUUUUGUUCUCUCAUUUUCCUACUCACAACCACUUUCAUAUGAUGGAUAGGCCAAGUACCUCUACCAACCCACUCUUCAUUGAGCAAGACGACGACAUGUCAUCAUUCGUCACUAAGAGCCACCUCUUUGGUGCACAACCAGCGCUACAUCAAGAGCAACAAGCAAUGAACGACCGCAUCGACAACCUCGCCACCGACUUGCGACUUUCCGAGCAACGUACACGGGACUACUUCGACAAUAAGCUCGACACGCACAAGCAAGAGAACGAUGCAAUAAUGGACGAGAUCCGCGCUUUGCUGGUCAACCGUCCUCCUUCAACUACUUCCUACUCAAGACGGAGGCACUCAAGGCGAUACUCCGACGACACCUUCUUCGGCUCAAGUACACCGUCUUUGAACACUCUUCGACGAGCCACGCGUCAAGACCGUCAUGCAUCUCGCAACCCGCUACACGUCAAGCAUUCACAAGAGCAAGUCUAUGAGCAAGUUUGUCGGUGUCAAAACCGGCAGAUCUCGGGUAGGGGGUCCCGAACUGUGCGUCUAGGCGGAUGGUAACAGGAGACGAGGGACACAAUGUUUUUACCCAGGUUCGGGCCCUCUUGAUGGAGGUAAAACCCUACGUCCUGCUUGAUUAAUAUUGAUGACGUGGGUUACAAGAGUAGAUCUACCACGAGAUCAAGGAGGCUAAACCCUAGAAGCUAGCCUAUGGUAUGAUUGUUGUUCGUCCUACGGACUAAAGCCAUCCGGUUUAUAUAGACACCGGAGAGGGCUAGGGUUACACAGAGUCGGUUACAAAGGUAGGAGAUCUACAUAUCCGUAUCGCCAAGCUUGCCUUCCACGCCAAGGAAAGUCCCAUCCGGACACGGGACGAAGUCUUCAAUCUUGUAUCUUCAUAGUCUUGGAGUGCGGCCGAUGAUGGUAGUUCGGCUAUCCGGACACCCCCUAGUCCGGGACUCCCUCAGUAGCCCCUGAACCAGGCUUCAAUGACGACGAGUCCGGCGCGCAUAUUGUCUUCGGCAUUGCAAGGCGGGUUCCUCCUCCGAAUAAUUUUUAGAAGAUUGUGAACACCAGGAUAGUGUCCGGCUCUGCAAAAUAAAUUCCACAUACAACCGUAGAGAGAAUAAUAUUACACAAGUUCAAUCUGCUGACGUAUUUUGUGGCGUAACGUCAUACCACUACCAAGCCUUCAAAUUGUUUUGAUUGUUCCAUCUCAACGCGUUUAGCGAGGCGGUUUUCUUGGCACGUCUUGUCGAAGCAGAGAUCGUGUUCCCCUUAUUCCGGGAUUCCCAUCAAUAAGGACGUGGGUAACCCAACCGCGCCAUUGAUUGUGACGCUUGGGAGAUAAGCGAGUUUUACCAGGCCGGUGGGGACGCGUGUUUCUGUCCGCCCAUAUAAGGGGAUAAAGAUCCAACCUUUUUACCUGCGCCUUCUUCCUCCUUGGCUUAUCCAUCUCUGCGAACUCGCGCUCUAGCGCCCAAGCCCGCACAUCUCACCUCAACCUUCUCCAAAUAUGUCCGGAGUGGGAGGCAAGUGGAUGGCCUCCUCCGUUAUGGAGGGGCAUAUCCAGAAGCUGUGCAGCGCCGGAUACUUUUCCAGCGACAUCGCGCAUCGGCUCCCCGACGAGGGAGAGCUCAUCCCCACCCCCAGGCCCCAUGAGAGGGUAGUAUUCCUUCCCCAUUUCCUCCGCGGACUGGGCUUCCCACUUCAUCCCUUUGUCCGGGGGCUCAUGUUCUACUACGGCCUAGAUUUCCAUGAUCUGGCCCCGAAUUUUAUUCUCAACAUCUCGGCAUUUAUCGUCGUGUGCGAGGCCUUCCUCUGCAUCCAGCCCCACUUCGGCUUGUGGCUCAAGACCUUCAGUGUCAAGCCGAAAGUUGUGAAGGGCAGCCAAGCAGAGUGCGGAGGCGCCAUGGUGGGCAGGAUGUCCCACGUUACGUGGCUGGAGGGCACCUUUGUGGAAACCAUCAAGGGGUGGCAAUCGGGGUGGUUCUACAUCACCGAGCCGCGUGAUCCCGAAUGGGCAGCGGCCCCCGAAUUCAGAUCUGGCAUCCCCACACGGCUCACCUCCUGGAAAGAGAGUGGCCGGAUUUGGGACGAUUCGGAGGAGCUGACCGGACUCCAAGCCUGCGUCCAAAAGCUGGUGGACAAGAAGCUCAAGCUUGUCAACGUAGUCCAGGUCAUGCUCAUCCGCCGGAUUCUCCCGUGCCAACGACGGGGCUUCAAUAUGUGGGAGUUCGAUCCGGCGCAGCACCAGACUUUGAAUGGGCUCUUCGACACUACGUAUGAAGAGGUUUGGAAGGUGCUGUUCAAGGGCGCCGAGGCUCCCGCAUCCACAACCGAAGAUCGUGGAUUCAGCUCGCAGCGUCCAGCUGAUGAGGUAAGUGAUAUUGUCCUUUACGGGACGCUUGUUAUUCAUAGUUUGACUCUAUGCGGGAUCUAAACUCCCUUUCCUUUGACAGGACUGGCUGAAGAAGGCCGCACAGGCUAUCUAUCCGGCCCCAUUGCCAGAGGACCCAGCUGACGCCCGCCUAACGGGGCUGCUGGCUCCGGCACCCCACGUGGUGCCGGAGAAGAAGGCCAAGAAGAAGGCCUCGGGGACUCGGAGGAGUUCCCGUUUUCAGGUGCUAUCGGACGAUGAAUCCGAGGCUGACUCCUCCCACCAAGGCGAGGAGAAGAAGAAAGCCUCUCCCCCAGCGGGGGGAGGGAAGAAAAGGAAUGCCUCCCCAACAAGGGAGGCCGAAGGGUCCAAGAGGGGAAAAACUCUUCCCCCGGAUUGUUCCGCCAACGCCAGUGACGACGAUGAGGACUAGCCUCCAAGGGCCAAGCCUCUGGCGAGAUCGUAAGUAUCCGGACUCCCGAAUAACUUCAAGGUUUUCGUUUUCCGCCACAUUAUGUCUUUCUAAUGCCGCAUACAACCCUGCAGUCCGCCUAAGGAUGAUCUCCCCACUUCGUCGAGCGGGUCCUUAGGGGCGUCGGAUAUGGAUUCUCUUCCGAAUUCCUCCACCCCCCGUGAUGCGGACGAUGCCGAGGUGGGAUCCCAGGAAGGGACCCACCAGGAGGAGAGGGCCCCGGAGGUGUCGCAGGACAACCUCCCGGACUUUGCACCGGACUCAGCCCCGGAACCCAUAGUGGCUCCGGAGUCCGGCGGGCGACCCCUUCGGAAGAAGGGCAAGACCGCGACGCCGGCUGCCUCCGUCCAACCGGAGGUGCCGGAUAAUUUGCUGGAGGCGCUCAACGGCACCUCCAUCGAAGAGGAACACCGCACGGUUAUGAAUGCGGUGAUUCAGAAGGUUGAGCUCGCCAAGAGCGGGCUGACCGAAGCCUGCAGCAGCCUUCUAACAGGCUUUGAGGUAAGAAUUUCAAUAUAUGUAAAAUGGUACCGCAUAGACAGUAGCCCCUGAUGCUCGGUUCGGUGUUCGGAAAGAAAAGCCGGACUGAGGAUCUUUAGAAAGAUAAUCGCAGGAGUCAUGAAAAUAUGUCAAUAUGGGAUUGCAGGCUGUGCUGCUGACCUCUGCCGCACUGACUGCGGAGGUCAAAACUUUGAAGGAAAACCUCGAGCGGUCCGAGAACAAGCUCGGCCAUGCCAAGAAGCAGCUCGAGGAAAAAGAAGGUGAGUAAUACCUUAUGAAAAUUGUACCUUACAGAAAAGGAUUUUGGUUGCAAGAAAAAUGACAAGGAUAACUGGGGUAUUGCAAGGGCCACUAACGAGGUGGCGACCCUUAAGGAGGCGGUGGCUGCGGCCGAAUGCAAUGCGGCUGUGGAGCGCACCGAGCGAGAGAAACAGGAGGCGCGGGUGGCGGAGGUACAACAAGAGCUCCAGGAUCUCGUGAGGAAACAUGAGAGCCUGGAGCGUGACUCGAAGACUCGAGAGUCUGAGCUUGCAACGGCUCUUGAGAGUGCCAAAGCCGCUAAGGCCGAAGCCUACAAGGCCCUCCAGGAGAUAGAGGCGGUGAAGAAAAUAGCAGCGGGUAAGGCAUUUUUCAUGCAAAGUAAGCAUGUGAGUGUUAACUACCUGUCGCUUACCCGAAUUCGGAGCUCUCCAGGAUCAUUCGCAGAUCUUCCCUGCAGCGUGUCCGAUGCUGCCACAUUCUACCGGGCCGAGGAGGGGAGCACAACGGAGAAGGUCUUCUAGUCUCAGUAUGCUGAGGUCGGACAUCCGGUGCCCCUUAGCGACCAGCUGAAGCAGCUGGUCGAGCUCCACAAGGCGGCCGAACAGGCCAUGAAGGGCCUCAUAGUUUGGCUGUGGCCUAAGGAGGCUAUGCCUAGGAUCUACUUCGGUCUGGUGCGGCGGCUGGUGGACAUGUGCCCGUGGGAUGAAGUUAUCAAGCACUCCGCCUGUAUUGAGGGUGCGCGUCGGGCCCUUGCCCGCGCAAAGGUGCACUCGGGCAAGAUGGAUGCCCAGAAGCUUGUGACGGACCCCCCACCAGAGGGCAAGGAGCAUCGCACGCCCGAGAUGUAUUAUAGGAGUGUGCUGAAGGGCGCCCGCACUAUUGCGGGUGAGUGCUCCAAAGAUGUAAUAUUUGAGUAGACUCGCAUUUUGUUAUCCUGUGCGCUGAAAACUUGGUUCAUAUGCGCUAAGCAACGCUUGUUAAUUUAAAAUAUUACCUUCUGUGCAGCUGUUUAUCAAAUCUGAGAGAUGGCAAGUCGUCGGCUUCAGCCCCCAUGCCACGAGUGCUGGGGUGUUCGGGAUAAACUCGAGCGCUCUUGUUCCCAUUUUUGGGUCCAUCUAGGGAGGCGCUCAACACAACGAACAAGGCAACCGGACUUAUAAUGCUUGAACACUCUCACUUAGCCAUAGGAUUCUAUAAUUUUAAAUUUCGGCGAAGCCCCUAGUUUUCGGAAGGCCGAAUUUGGGGCGCUAUCCACGCCUUGGCCGGACAGAAUCCGGCUCCUCGCUCGAAGCGGCAUAAGUAUUUAGGGACUCGCAAAGAACCUCUCGAACAACGACCAGCUCUUGCCUCAUCAUGACGGUCAGUUUUAGCUUUCUCCACUGAGGCGUUAACCCAGCUCAACUGGGGCGCAAUCGCAGUGGUUCUCCCAGUGCUACCUUAGCCGAUAAAACGGAACGUAAGGUACCAAAACAUGGGAGCCGGGCAAACCCAACUAUUGACCCAAGAACAUGAUUCGGAGCCGAUGCAUAUAAUGUUAUAAGUUCGGGGUGCCGCACUUGUGAAAGUGUUCGGACUUAUCACACCAUAACGCGGGAAACAUAAGCCCCUGGUGUAUUUAGCCAUACCAAAACGUACGGAUGCAACAUGUCAUAGAUGAACAUAUGUGUAAGAAAGAAAUGCAAUUGGAAGCAAAAAUGUGCUGCAUUGCUUUAUUCAAAUAAAAACUGCUGAAGUGCAGGACGAUACAAGUGGUGCUGUAAGCAAGGGAUGGGACUGUUUAACAUGUCCCCCUCCAGGGGUAGGCUACGGAAUAAUGCAUAAAACAGAUUUAAUGCUCAUAAUGGAGACCACCUGGAUUUUCGUUGUAGCCUUUCUCCUUCCCUGGCUGUUGUAUCGUGGGUUCGGCAUGUCUGCUGCCGGACAGGGCCUCUGGCGAACGGAGUCCUAUAGGUAAAAAAUAAAAGGAAAAGAAAAAGAAACGACACACUUAAGAGCCCCUGGUGUGGUUGAGCCGUAGUUUGGGCUUAUCGUGGUCGAGCCCCUUGCCCCAUGCCCAUGGUAUCUUCAGAGCGUAAUGGAGUACGCGAAGGGUCUGUCUUAAUGUUUUACAGGGGCUGGGGUUAGGGCCGCACUGCUACGCGUGCCCGGAACAUGCCAGGUGGUCGUGUUGUAGGUUACUCCGGGCACGCUUAGCUACGUCCGGCCGCUUGGCAGCCGGACUCGAGAAUUGCCUUAAAAGGCUGCUUUGUACUUCUGCCGCGAGAGCCGCUGUAUGUUCCUCCGUUCGGAGGGAGCGUUCAGUGUUUCCGUUGACCGUGAUGACUCCUCUAGGGCCUGGCAUCUUGAGCUUGAGGUAUGCAUAGUGCGGCACCGCGUUGAACUUUGCGAACGCGGUACGUCCGAGCAAGGCAUGAUAGCCGCUGCAGAACGGGACUAUGUCGAAGAUUAACUCCUCACUUCGGAAGUUAUCCGGGGAUCCGAAGACCACUUCCAAUGUAACUGAGCCUAUACAAUUGGCUUCUACACCUGGUAUGACGCCUUUAAAGGUCGUCUUGGUAGGUUUAAUCCUUGAGGGGUCUAUGCCCAUUUUGCGCACCGUGUCCUGAUAAAGCAGGUUUAGGCUGCUACCACCGUCCAUCAGGACUCUGGUGAGAUGAAAUCCAUUGAUGAUUGGGUCUAGAACCAAUGCGGCGAACCCACCAUGGCGAAUGCUGGUGGGGUGGUCCCUUCGGUCAAAGGUGAUCGGGCAAGAGGACCAUGGAUUGAACUUCGGGGCAACUGGCUCCAUCGCGUAUACAUCCCUGAGUGCACGCUUCCGCUCCCUUUUGGGUAUGUGCGUUGCAUAUAUCAUGUUCACCGUCCGCACCUGUGGGGGGAAACCCUUCUGUCCUCUAUUGUCCGGCGGUCGGGUCUCUUCCUCAUCGUCGCUAUGUAGCCCAUUGUCACUGUUUUUGGCAAUUAACUUGUCUGGCUGCUUGAACACCCAACAGUCCCUAUUGGUGUGGUUAGCUGGCUUUUCGGGGGUGCCAUGUAUCUGGCACAAGCGGUCCAGAAUUCGGUCCAAAUUGGAUGGACCCUGAGUUGUUCUUUUGAAUGGAUUUUUCCGUUGACCGGGUUUAGAGCCUCUAAAUCCGGCAUUGAUUGCCGUAUCCUCACUGUUAUCGCCGUUGAUGCGGCGUUUGUUUUUCUUGCGACACGACCUGCCACUACGGUCCUUGAUAUCCGGACUGCCAAAAUUUUUGUUGAGGUUGUUGCUGCGUGCUAGCCAGCUGUCCUCACCCGCACAGAAGCGGGUCAUGAGUGAUGUAAGGGCUGCCAUGGAUUUCGGCUUUUCCUGUCCCAGGUGCCGGGCAAGCCACUCGUCGCGGAUGUUAUGCUUGAAGGCCGCGAGGGCCUCGGCAUCCGGACAGUCGAUGAUUUGGUUUUUCUUGGUUAAGAACUGUGUCCAGAAUUGUCUGGCCGAUUCGUCUGGCUGCUGAAUUAUGUGGCUUAGGUCAUCUGCAUCUGGUGGUCACACAUACGUGCCUUGGAAGUUAUCGAGGAAUGCGGCUUCCAGGUCCUCCCAACUCCCGAUUGACUCUGCUGGCAAGCUGUUAAGCCAGUGCUGGGAUGGUCCUUUAAGUUUGAGUGGGAGAUAUUUGAUGGCGUGGAGAUCGUCUCCGUGGGCCAUGUGGAUGUGGAGGAGAUAGUCCUUGAUCCAGACCGUGGGGUCUGUUGUGCCAUCAUAAGAUUCAAUAUUGACGGGUUUAAACCCUUCUGGGAUUUGAUGAUCCAUUACCUCAUCUGUGAAGCACAGUGGGUGUCCGGCGCCUCUGUACUGGGCGAUAUCACGACGGAGCUCAAAAGAGCUUUGUCUGUUGUGUUCGGCCCGGCCGGACUUACUGUGUCCGGGGUGACAGUGAUCGUCACGUAUCGUGGGGCGCCCACGUGAUCCAUAGAUCGAUCUUGAUUGUCUUGCCUUAUCCUCCAAUAUGUCGCGCAGGUCCGGAUUGUUCCCAUGUGGCCUUGUGCUUUUCGAGCGAUGCCGAGGUACGGGUCUAGUGAAGGGCCUUGAGGCCUCUCUGUCGCGACCACGGGGUGGUCGAUCAGCUGUAUUGUCUCCUGGUGAAGCGGGAUCAUAUGCCUCCACCUCUAAUCGGGGCAGCAGCUUACGUUUGGGGUAGCUUUUGGAGGGGCGUUCGAGUUCAUGCUCUUCGGCAGCGAGGACUUUGGUCCAUCUGUCGGCUAGCAGAUCUUGAUCAGCUCUAAGCUGCUGCUGCUUUUUCUUGAGGCUGUUUGUUGUGGCCAUAAGCCUGCGUUUGAAACGCUCCUGAUCGACGGGAUCCUCAGGCAUGACGAAUUCGUCGUCGUCGAGGCUUGCCUCGUCUCCGGAGGGAGGCAUAUAGUCCUCUACCUCUUCUUCGGCCGCUCUCUCAUGAGGGCUGGCGUCCCCCUCCUCCUGUGCUGGAUCUUGCUGGAGUGGGUUGUCUUCGGUGCUAUCCGGUGUAUUGUUGUCUCCGGUGCCGGAAUCCUCAUUCUUGCUAUGGCGGGAUUUAGAGCGGCGCCGCUGACGCCGGCGCUUGGUCUGUUUCUUGGAGGGGUCAUCCUCCGCUAUUCCUUCGUCGUUCCCAUCCUUUGGGAUAUCCACCAUGUAUAUGUCAUAUGAAGAGGUGGCUUUCCAGUGCCAGUGGGCGCUGGUUCUUGGUCGUCUCCGGCAUCAUCGUCCAUACCGUCGAUGUCCUCAGAGUCAUAAUCUAGCAUGUCGGUUAGGUCGUCGACAGUGGCUACCAAGUGGGUUGUGGGUGGGCUCUGAAUUUCUUCGUCGUCCGCAUCCCAACCGUCCUGGCCGCAGUCCGGCCAGGCCUCUCCUGAUAACGAGAGGUACUUUAGCGAACUCAAGAUGUCGCCAAAAGGUGAGUGUUGAAAGAUGUCCGCCGCGGUGAACUCCAUGAUCGGCGCCCAAUCGGAUUCGACUGGAGGGGGCGCGGGAGGUCCGGAGUCCGGCACCUCGGAGUCACGAGCUUCAUGGGGGACAAGAUCGGUGUUCGGCUCUAUCACCGUAGAGGUUGCAGCCCCCGAGGUGGUGUCUAGCCAUCCAUCCUUGGUCUGCGCAGCCGGCUCCGAGUCGAAGAUCGGAGCAGGUUCGAGUGCGGCCUCCAGGGUACUGUCCGGCUGCAGAGCUAAAUCAUGCCCAUCGUGAUAGUAUGGCACGCUCGGCUGUGGCUCGAAUCCGUCGAGGAUCAAGUCCCCGCGGAUGUCAGCCGUGAAGUUCAAACUUCCAAAUCUAACCUGACGGCCAGGGGCGUAGCCUUCGAUCUGCUCCAGCUGGCCAAGCGAAUUGGCCCGCAGUGCGAAGCCGCCGAAUAUGAAGAUCUGUCUGGGGAGGAAGGUCUCACCCUGGACUGCAUCGUCGUUGAUGAUCGAAGAAGCCAUCGAGCCUAUCGGUGACGACACAGAGGAACUCUCAAUGAAAGCACCAAUGUUGGUGUCAAAACCGGCGGAUCUCGGGUAGGGGGUCCCGAACUGUGCGUCUAGGCGGAUGGUAACAGGAGACGAGGGACACGAUAUUUUUACCCAGGUUCGGGCCCUCUUGAUGGAGGUAAAACCCUAUGUCCUGCUUGAUUAAUAUUGAUGAUGUGGGUUACAAGAGUAGAUUUACCACGAGAUCAAGGAGGCUAAACCCUAGAAGCUAGCCUAUGGUAUGAUUGUUGUUCGUCCUACGGACUAAAGCCAUCCGGUUUAUAUAGACACCGGAGAGGGCUAGGGUUACACAGAGUCGGUUACAAAGGUAGAAGAUCUACAUAUCCGUAUCGCCAAGCUUGCCUUCCACGCCAAGGAAAGUCCCAUCCGGACACGGGAUGAAGUCUUCAAUCUUGUAUCUUCAUAGUCUUGGAGUCCGGCCGAUGAUGGUAGUUCGGCUAUCCGGACACCCCCUACUCCGGGACUCCCUCAAAGUUCCUCGUCCGCGUUCAAACCAAGACGCUUUUGCUCAAGCUCAAAAAUGACAACGACUACGGCACCACGAGGAAGAACGAGCGCGUCUACACCAAGAAGAAAAAGACACCGAGGCUAAACGUCUUCAACAACAACAACGAGAAGCGCAAGCUCUUGAGGCGCAACGUGCCCUUCAAGAAUCCAGUCGAGCCAUCGCCAACCGCAAUCGCGAAUGGCGCAAUCAAGACGAAGCCCUUCGAGAAGAAAUCCACGAGCGGAACUACCAACGCCGCGUGCAAUGUCAAACUCCUCAAGCUAAUCCACAAGCUCAUAAAGCUCCUCCUCAACCUCAAGUUCAACAAGAGCAAGUGGAUCAUCGACUUCCUCCAUGCCAAGAGCAACAUCUCGAGGAACGAGCAUUUGACGAUCUUCCCCCACGGCAAGAGCGACAUCACAACCGCUACUUCGACGAAGAACUCCGCUACGGCAAGCUAAAGUUCACCAUGCCCAAGUUCAAUGGAAGCAAUGACCCCGAAGAGUACCUCUCAUGGGCAUUGAAGAUUGGCAAAAUCUUCCGGUUGCACAACUACGAUGAAGAGAAGAAGAUCGCUAUGGCAUCACUCGAGUUCCAAGACUACGUUCUCAUUUGGUGGGAACAAGUGAUUGAGCGACGUCGUACAAGAGGCAAACCACCAAUCACAACUUGGACGGCUGAUGAGGACAUCAGUACCAUUGUUACACCCACAGCCCCUACUACAACAUAUACUGGACCAAAUUACUAGAGCUCGCGCACACCAAUUAAAUUAUCAGGUACUUUUGUUUCUUGGUAAUGAUUCUAAUGUUCAUGAGAAUAUGAUGCUGCCUAAAUUGGAUACAUUUGUUUUGCUUACAAAUGAAGGGCCUGGCAUGGAUAAGAGGGAUGAACAUUGGAGCAAGAACAAGCAUGGAGUUGAUGGCAUGUACAAGGGGAACAAGAACAGAGUUACAAGUGAUGAUUUCAGGACUUUGAAGCCACCAUAAUGAGUGCAUGAAGCCUUGGACGAAAUAUACAAGAUGCCACUUCAUAAACUUCGUCCAGAGGCUAUUCUAGGUGCUGCGUCACCUUAUUAUUAGGCCAGGCCCAUGUAAUUUUGAAAUACAUAAGUAUAGGCUGUUUUUAGAGUCCGUAUGUGUGGGGAAACAAGAGAUAGGGUUGGUUUCGGACCGCUUACCCAAGGGCCACGAAAUUCCCCCCCUCUUUCUCCAUAUAUACAGCCCUUAGGGCACCGUUUAGACUUUGGGUUUUGCUUAGAUUAAAAGUUCGCCAUAGCUGCAACUUCGCGCACUUCGUUUGUGUUCAACGACCAGACCAAGGCGUCACAGAACCCCACCUUGAUCAAUAAAGCUUUCAUCUUAUGUUCGCAAUAUCCAGAUUGCAAUCUCAGUUUCUUGCUUGUUCUUCGUUUGCUCGCAGGAAACAGACCCUCGUGGUCAGGUUGAUCGUGCUCUGGCGUGGUGAAUAACCUCUCGGAGUUGGUUUAGCGAUUGCUAAGGCGCGACGUCCUCGCACGUUCGUAGUCGGAUCGUCAAAGUCGAUUUCCACCAAAGCGAUAUCCAUUAUCUCAUCGAAAGACGGGACACCUUUGCCUCUAUCAAGUGUGAUACGGAGCAUCCCACGUUCAUCUCCAUGUACACCUUCAUAGCACAUCAAGCCCCAAGUGGACCUACCGGAGUUAAGGUGAACCCGCUCUUCUUCGAGAAUAUCAUGAAUAUCCAUUGGGACUUGCUUGCUACCUCACCAAAGAGCUCUAUGUGUCCUUAGGUACAAAGACCGACGACCACAAACUGGUGAGGAACACCCCAAAGGAGUAGGAGAAGGACCCCAAGGCCACAAGAAGGAAGAACGAGGGCAUCGAGACCAACUCUGCACCUCCCAGGUGACCCCGUGCCCACGGGCCUCGAAGACCCCGUGCGCACGGGCUACUCAGAGAGUUUGCGCUGGAGCACCCCAUGCGCACGGGCCUGUACCGUGCCCACGGGACCCCCGUGCGCACGGGCCCAACUUACCCCGUGCGCACGGGCCCUACAGGAUGGACGGUUGUGAUUGUUGUUUGGGCCUCCUCUUCCUCCACUUCGCCCCCAUGACUAUAUAUUCCAUACCUAUACCAUUUGUUAGGGUAAGCAAAGUAGUUGAUACACAUUUGUGAGCUUUGCUCCAUGGAUCCACUCCACUAGGAGAUCAAGACCUCCUCUUGGAGUGACCAAACAUCAAGACCUCCUCCUAGGGGAAGGAUCCCAAUCAUAGGAUCAUCAAGCCCUCAUCUCCUUCAUAGGAUUUGGGAUGAACUCUACCAUGUAUCUUAUUUCCCUUUGAUUGUUCAUGUACCUUGUGGAUCGUGUGUGUUUGUUGGUCUAGUGGAUGUGUGAUUGGACUUGUUCUUGAGUGUUCCUCUUGUUUUCCCUCUUGUGUUCAUCUUGUUCUUGGGGAUUCCCCCUCCAAUUCGUGAAAGAUCUCCCCAUAGGGUUCCACCCUACAUCAUCUUGGUAUCAUGAGCCAUGGUUGAUCACGAAAUUGGAGCCCCCCUCUUGUUUUGUUGAUUUUGUCCUAAAUUCGAAAAUUCCCCACCAAAAAUAGCCCCAAUUUUUUUUGUGAUUUUUUGGUUUGGUGAUGUUUUGUUGGAUUUGAUCCAUGGAUUUGCUUGGUUUCAAGUGGAUCUAGCAUUCCCCCAUCUUUUCCCCACGAUACAUCCCCUAAAUCUCCACAAUUUUCCCCAAAAAAUCCCCAAUUUCCGCCACGAAAUCGCGAAAUUUCCGCCCACCCCGUGCCCACGGACCCUAGGCCCCGUGCGCAUGGGCCCCCGAAAAGUCUCUGGACACCCGGUGCCCUCAGGCCUGUACCGUGCGCACGGGACCCCAUGCCCACGGGCUCCUACCCCCGUGCGCACGGCCCCCCCAGGCCAGCCGCGAGCAGUUCACCGUUUUGUCCAUAACUUCCACAUCUGGAGUCCGAUUUUCGCGUUCUUUAGCUCGUUGAGUAGCUAUUGACAUCCCCCAUGCCCCUAGAUAGGUACCAUCACCAUUUGACUCCAUCAAAAUUUUGACAUUUUGGCAUCUUUGACUAGGCCUUCCACCAUAUCAUCCGCAAAACCACCAUAGUCUUCCGCAACCUAACCCGUUUCGCUCCAUAUAGCAUUUGUGGUUGUUUGAGUGGUGACUUGAGUCUCCUAAGGUGUUUCGGCUACUUAGGGACGGUUGCUUCGUCAUCAACCACCACCACCAUUUCCACAUAGCCUUACCCACCAUACACUUCCACCAUCACAACUUAACACAAUUUACGGUGACCUCCAACUCUGACACCGUGUAUAGUCCACCACCAUAUCAUCCACUUCCGCAUUGCCUAGUGCAACACCACCGCUUUCCGCUACCACCAUUUGACAUUUGUCAUUUGAGACUUUGAGUUCGCGGUUUUUCCGUUUCCUAAGGUGUUUCGGCUACUUAGGGACGAGUCUACAUCAUCUUGGUAUCUACAUCAAGAACACCGCCACUCAUCAUCGCAAAGGACGGUAACCUCAAAGACACCAUUGUAUAUUCCCCUUGCAAUUGCAUUGAUAACCCCUAGUCCAUUUUGCGUCACUUGCCUAUCGAGACUAGCCAUUUGAGUAUUGCCAGCAAUGUUACUUGUGCACAUUAGUGAUCCACCCUUCCAUUGCAUACAUACCAUAUCAUAUUGGUAUCAUCAUAUCAUCUCUUGUGUCACAAGAUUGUUCCCGCAUAUACACAAUUGCUAUCUUGGUUUGUGCAUUGUGCAAAUUGGCCAUAAAAAAAAGAAAAAAAAAGAAUAAGCUUUUAAGCAAAAGAAAAGAGAACAAAGAGCUUGUAAGCAAGUGCCAUAGCAUCAUACCACAUUGCAUAUAAGAUUGUCAUAUCUGAUCAUCUUGGAUCAAACAACGGGAACUAUACAUACAUAGCAUACUUGGGAUAGAAAUUUAUCCAUUUUGCAUCUUAUAGGUUGUGCACAAGUGUCGUAUCCGCCUAUUGAGCAAUCAUGCUAGCGUCUCUCUUGAGUUGUGCAACACGAGCGUUUUGGUGGAUUCCACAUUUUGAGCUCACUCCUUGGUUGCACGACCCCAUUUAUCUAUCCGUGUGUGUGUUUCCGUGUACCACAUUUGCUAUUGGUCUACUUGUCUCACUUGCGAAUUUGUGAAUCUUUUCCAACUUUAUUGACUCUUGCUAACAUUUUGCAUUAAAUUUUUGUGCCACUAUCCUCACCAAGCUACUCCAUAAGCUUUACUUGAUAGGUGUGAGUGAACAAGUCCUGUACCAAUUCCACUAUUCUUUCAUCUCACAUUGAGUGAAACGAUAUACAUCCUCAACUUGGGGAAAAGGUAACUUGGUAUUGUUUAUCUCAUUUCCUACUCACCUCUACUCGAGUCUUGUGAUGGAUAGGCAAGGCAUUUCACCUUCGGUCUACAACAACAACAACGAGUUCAAUGCCACGAACAAUAACUCCGACGCCAAGAUGGACAAGCGCAUGGAGGAGAUCAAAGCCCUCAUCAAGUCCUACAAGCGAUCUUCCUCAUCUUCGAGAAGACGCUCAAGAGCACAUGCUUCCGAGCUACCAUCUCCGGCAAGAUCACAUCGGAAUCGACACCAUCAACAACAAGAACGUGAAGGUCAAGAGCUCUACACCAACAACCGCUCAAGGACUUCACCAUCUCCCUUGGCAUCUUCGCCAAGUGACUUCAAGGCAUCUUCACCUACGGACAAAUGGCAUCUUCGCCAACAAGAACCCCAAGACUACGCUCAAGAGAAGCUCCCCAAGCUCAAGUCCACUACUCCCUCGAGCUACUACGACCUCGACACCGACCACAAGAUUCCUUUCGAUGGGACUCAAGAACCCGAGGAGUACCUCGAGUGGGAGCGUUUGAUGGACGACUACCUCAAGCUACAUCAAGUCCCUUCCGAAGAUCAAGUGAAGUGCGCCACAAGAAACUUCCACGACUACGCCUCGGCAUGGUGGCUUCACACACCUUCGGAGAGCUAUGAGAUGAGUUGGCCCAAGAUGAAGAGAGCUUUGCGGCGAGAGUUCGUGCCUCCAACCUACACGGAACAACUUCGACGCCAAUUGGAUAACACCAUCCAAGGAUCCAAGUCCAUCGACGCGUACUUCAAGGAGAUGAAGAUUGCCUUGCGACGAGCCGGCAUGGACGACCCCAUUUCGAUGAAGUUCCACUUCAUGAUGGGAUUGAACAAUGACAUCUCCAAGACUAUCUUCCUCAAGAACUACAAGUCCAUCGACGACUACUACAUUGGUGCUCUCAAGGCGGAACAAGAACUCAUGAAGGCCAAGGCUUCUCCACCCCGAGCAAACUUCGCGGCGACCAAGCUCAACGACAAGCAUGAGGCUAGUACCACCAAGAUGUCCAAGCCUGGUGAGCUCCAAGACGAUGCUUCCAAGUUUGACUUGACCACCAUCCCUCUUUGUGGCAUUGAUGAUGCCCAGUCCUCCAUGACUCUUUUUCAAGAUGGUGCAGCGACGAGUUCGACUACAGAGACCUUCAAGAACCAAGCUUUAGAGGCAAGCGACAAGGUGGCGAGCAAGGAUGAAGCUUCCAUCUUAGGAGGCGAGAGCGAUGAUGUGCCAUCUUAGGCCUUCAUCCACGAUGAUAGUGGUGAUGUGCCAUCUUCGGCCUUCAUCCAUGGCUACGCCUACGAGACGGUUGAGCAUGGGAUUUUCCCUUCGACCACGGCGACGUCCGAUGACUUGAGUGACUUUUGCCACCAUAUUGAGAUUGAGAGUGACUUCACCACUAGCCCCAUAUCUCAUGAGUUGUCCCAAUUCCCAUGUGAGCAGAGCCACAACCCCCACCACUUGAGUGAUUUGAGUGACUCCACCAUAUGCGACAUUGAGUGCACCUACCUUGAGGGAGUGAGUGAGCCACCACCACAUAGAGAGAGUAAGAUAGUUGAUAGGUCUAGUGAGGCCAUUUGCAUUUCUAACAACUUGACCUCUACCUCUCUUGUGCCUUCUCAUUUGGUGCUAGGUUACAUAUAUGAUGACGCGCCGAUCCUCGACGACUUCGUCCUCCCUUUGGACAAGAUGAUGGCCAUGGUGGAAUAUGAUGCACCCCCCAUAUGGUUCCAUCAAGAUGAUGAUAUUGACCACCAUUUGGUCUUUCCCACCUCACCUACACCUCUUGAGUGGAAUGAACAAGGUAACAUGGGUGAAGGUGAUGCUCUCGUCCCACUAGUGGACUAUUUUGACAUUGAUUGCUUGCAUGAUGUUGAUCACCCUAUUGACAUGCUUCAUUCUAGUAUGAUUUCCCCAUGCGAUGAUUUACCCAUUUAUGAUGAAUAUGAUGAUUCUCAUGUGGAGUCUAUUAGUCGUGAUGCCAUGUUACAUAGGAUUUCUUGUGACAAUUCUUUAGGUCACAUCAUGUUUGAUAAUUCGCUUGACUUGUCAUAUGCUAUGCAUGAGAUCAACCAUAUGUCUUAUUUGCAAUCUCUCCAUAGUGACUAUGCAUAUGCCAUUAAAAUAAACCCAAUUUGCACAUAUGGCAUAGAUGACAAGCCCAUGGUUAUUGGCAUUUGUUUCUCUUGUGAUGAUAUUGAUAUGCUCCCUUUGCAUCAUUUAUCUCAUAUACCAUGCCAUGCACACCUAGCCUCGGAUAUGCAUUGUUUUGGAUGUUGUCCAUUUUCUCCAUAUGAUGUUUCCAAUAUUGCUCAUGAGGAGACGCCCAUAGUUUCCUCAUACAUGUUAGGAGAUUUUGAUCCAUCCCAUCCAUUGCAUGACCCCAAUAAUUAUGUGCACCAUAUGCUCCCCAUGAAUAAACAUGUUAUUGAUGUGCCAUAUACUUGCAUUCUCAAUUUAUGUCCCCAUCGUGUCAUACACAAUAACUAUUCUUUCAUGAUGGAUGACAUGUUCUUAUACCAUGCCUCAAAUUUCUUUGAGCAUUGCUUAUCUUGUGCUAACUCACACGUGCACAUACACAUCAUGAUGGAUGAUGUGUACAUUUACUACGCGCACAAUUUCUUUGGAUUGUGUCUCUUUUGUGUAGGUACCCAUGAACACUUGUCAACAUCGCAAGCCCACGAGUUGACAAAACGAGCUCUUGAGAGCAAUGACGAUUUGGGAUCCCAUGGACUAUCCUUACCACCGUCCCCUUCGCGCAAGGACUACGCGCACCUCCUCUACUUGGAUCUCACACGGCUAUGGGCCAUUUAUAACUUGUCACAUUAUGCUCAUUUUACCGUGUUCACUUUGCAUGCUAUGCUUGCUCCUAUGCCUUUGCCAUGCAAUUGUGACCCUUGCUUGCAUAUACCCAUGUUUCAUCAUUAUGCUACUACUAUGAGUAUUUGCGUGCUUGGUGGAGAUCCUUGUUGCUAUUGCCAUGUUUAUCAUGUGCCCCAUGCUAUUGAUGAUUGUUGUGUUGGGAGAGUCAUAAUGCCUCAUUGCUAUUUACAUAUGGCCUCUCGCCAAUACAUUCAUGCCAUUCUACUCCUAUCUUGCUUUCAUGCUUGCGCUAUAACAUGUGGAUUAUUCAUGCCCACUAUUUGACCAAUGACAUGUUUGCCAUGAUUCCUUCUAGUAUGUUGCAUCUUUGCACUACUAGCAUGCUUGACUUGAUCGCUAUGAUAGCUCGCUAUGUUGCAUCACCCAUGUUCCACUAUUACUUGCUUUCUUGGGCUGAUAGCACCUAUGCUCAUGCCUCUCACAUGAUUUAUAUCGAUCAUUGUCUAUUGUCUCCAUUACUUGCAUCUCUCAUAUCACCCUGUAUUGAGUGCCAACUUGCUAUGCUUAUUGAUCUUGGAGACUUGGACACUUUACUUGUGAAGCAUGCUUGUUUGAUUGAGCCUAUUGUAUUUGGUUGUUCUCGCAUCAUAUGCUUACAUACUUUGAAAUGCUCCCUUGUCCUUUCUUAUGAUGCGCAUGAUGCAUACACUUGUUGGGUAUCUCGCCCCUCGAAUGAUAGGUCUUGCUUUUGCACUAACCUCAUUUGUUUUUCCAAGUGUUUCUCAUGUUCUUUUAUUUUGAAGGAUUCACAAGGCAGUACCAUCAAGAGACAUUUUAGUUAUGGUAAGGCGUACAUGAUGUGCAACACCAACAUUGGCGAGCAUCUGCUAAAGGUGAACUCAUUCUCUUUGAGCCAUCCUCACAUAUGCAUAUUGGAUGGCCAUACUUUCAUUGUUGUUUCCUUCUUCUUGUCUACAUGCUACAUAUAUUGGAUGGAGGACCGACAUUGGAGAUGGACCCUUUGGACCUUCACAUAGAGGAGUGCCACGACAUCAACCUAUGCUACAUCCAUGCCUACUGUGUACAUGGUGAUACGGUUUACGAUCCGAGGUCGGAUCUUUCCAAAGGGGGAGGAGAUGAUACGGAGCAUCCCACGUUCAUCUCCAUGUACACCUUCAUAGCACAUCAAGCCCCAAGUGGACCUACCGGAGUUAAGGUGAACCCGCUCUUCUUCGAGAAUAUCAUGAAUAUCCAUUGGACUUGCUUGCUACCUCACCAAAGAGCUCUAUGUGUCCUUAGGUACGAAGACCGACAACCACAAGCUGGUGAGGAACACCCCAAAGGAGUAGGAGAACGACCCCAAGGCCACAAGAAGGAAGAAGGAGGGCAUCGAGACCAACUCUGCACCUCCCAGGCGACCCCGUGCCCACGGGCCUCGAAGACCCCGUGCGCACGGGCUACUCAGAGAGUUUGCGCUGGAGCACCCCGUGCGCACGGGCCUGUACCGUGCCCACGGGACCCCCGUGCGCACGGGCCCAAUUUACCCCGUGCGCACGGGCCCUACAGGAUGGAUGGCUGUGAUUGCUAUUUGGGCCUCCUCUUCCUCCACUUCGCCCCCAUGACUAUAUAUUCCGUACCUAGACCAUUUGUUAGGGUAAGCAAAGUAGUUGAUACACAUUUGUGAGCUUUGCUCUAUGGAUCCACUCCACUAGGAGAUCAAGACCUCCUAUUGGAGUGACCAAACAUCAAGACCUCCUCCUAGGGGAAGGAUCCCAAUCAUAGGAUCAUCAAGCCCUCAUCUCCUUCAUAGGAUGUGGGAUGAACUCUACCAUGUAUCUUAUUUCCCUUUGAUUGUUCAUGUACCUUGUGGAUCUUGUGUGUUUGUUGGUCUAGUGGAUGUGUGAUUGGACUUGUUCUUGAGUGUUCCUCUUGUUUUCCCUCUUGUGUUCAUCUUGCUCUUGGGGAUUCCCCCUCCAAUUCAUGAAAUAUCUCCCCAUAGGGUUCCACCCUACAUCAAAGUGGUAUCAGAUUUCCAGGUUGCUCGGUGAGAUUUUACAGUUUUUCAUAGUUUAGAUCGAGUCUGUUCUUCAUACCUAUAGUCCACGAAAAAGCCAAAAAAAUUAGGGUUAGUUCAUCCCAUCCGAACCAAUCUGAGCCUUUGCAUAAUCUUUUUUGUAUUUGCUUUGUUGAAUUUGUGGUUGCAUCAUCGUGUCAAGUUGCUGGUCUUAGCGUCUAGUCCUUUAGAGUUUCGAGUUCUGUUCAUAGGUUGUCACGUCGCCGCUACCAUAUAUCCCCACCGCAUCAUCAUCACCGCUGCCAUAUACCACCACCACAUAUUCACCGCCAAUCCUAGUCCAUAUACGCCACCACAUAUCUGCCGCCAUCACGCCAAUCCGAGUCCACCUGCAACAUAUAUCCGCCACCACUCCGAGUUCCACCAGAUUCAUCUCCGCCACCAGUCCGAGAUUCCACCAGAUUCUUCUCCGCCACCAGUCCUAGUCCGAGUCCAGUAAUUGUUGCUUUGUUUUGGAUUUCCAGAUCACGCCAUACUCCAAGUCGUGACAGAGAAGGACUCCCCAACUUCCGUGUUACCCGCAGUAGAAAAAUAGUUCCAAACUCAAAAAAAACUAAGUCUGGAAAAUUCUGGCUAGGCAGUUUUUAGACCAUUUGUAGACUUUUUCGAAAAAAAAAUUGUUGCCGAGCAAAAAAAAAGAGGAAAAAAAAGAAAAAAAAGAGAAUUUUUUUUCAGAGUGUGCUUCUCCCUUGUUUACAUGCAGCGUCGUGAUUUUGUUAGUGUUCUAGGCUCGCGUCUCUAGCACGGUCUAGCCUAGGACCAGCACAGUACCGUCGUUGAGCGUUUAUUCAACUUUGCAUCUCUGAAUUGAUUAUUGCUGACCCUUUUUGCUACCAUAUUAUAAGCCUUCCCAGAUCCACAUACAUCUACAUCGUGCGUUUGACUCUCCCUGGCAAUCGCUCUAUCCAAGCUUUUGAGAGUUUUGACUACAAUGGUUGCCGAUCACCGCCUGCUGCUGGGUAAGAACUGGUAAGAAUUUGAGAUUUGCUUGACGGAUUUGUGACACCCACCACCACCUCUUGUUAGUAGUUUGUACGAUCAUAUGCUUGUGUGUUUCUAUUGAUGCUAACCAUGCCAGGAUCACAAGCCGACAAGACUGACUGGGAGAACAUGACGAAUAAAGAGUUGCAUGAUAAAUUUCAGCAAAUGAUGAGUGGACAGGUGCAAGAUGUGCUAAACAGAUUUGAACAGGCCAUGGAGAAGAUAGAUGGCAUGGAGAAGACGUUCAAAACAAAGCUCGAUAACAAGUUUAAUGAAUUGCUCGCGCGUCUUCCACCACCACUACCGGCUGCACCUAACGCACCUCUACAACCACAACAACAACGACGACUACCUCCACGUCGCGAAACAGCCCUCCGCCGAGCGAGCCGUGUCCCUCUUGCGCUUGGCCAAACUGUUGGUGCUGCUGUCGAUACUUCUGUGGCUCCUGCUGCUGACGCGGAGGAGGAUGAUUAUCUGGGAGAUUACGAGGAUGAAGUUGAUCAAAAUCAGAACUACAUGCAACCACCAGCACCACAACCACCAGGUCGUCCACAUGCAAAUAAUGGCAAUUUUAGGGCUCCCCUUCAGGUACGAGAUCAUGACCAUCUCCCUAUACUGAAAUUGAAUAUUCCAUCAUCUGAGGGUAGAUAUGUUCCUGAUAUAUAUCUUACUUGGGAGUUAGAAAGUGAACAACGAUUUACAUGUUUACAAUAUCCUGAGGAGAGACGUGUUCCUGCUGCUGUUUGUGCUUUCACUAGCUUUGCAUGUGUGUUGGUGGUCUCAACAUUGUCGAUUAUAUCCUGUUCCAGCUACUUGGGCUGCUUUGAAAACUGUUAUGCGUACUUGUUGGGUUCCAACAUAUUAUCAACAUGAAUUACUUCAAAAAUUGCAGCGCUUAAGACAAGGAAAAAAUUUGGUAGAAGAAUAUUAUCAGGAAUUACAAACUGGCUUGAUUAGAUGUGGUAUUGUUAAGGAGAAUGAAGAUAUGCUUGCACGUUUUCUGGGUGGAUUAAAUAGAGGGAUUCAGACCAUUCUAGACUAUAAGGAUUAUAAUAAUAUCACUCGUUUAUUCCAUCUUGCUUGUAAAGCUGAACGUGAAGUGCAGGAUCAAUAGGCAUUGGUGCACACUAACUUUUCUGCAGGUCGACCUUCAUCAUGGACACCACGUGCAUCAUCUACUUCCACUGCACCAUCACCUCCUUUAGGUGCCACCUCCAACCGUGAUACAAUAAAACAGGCACAACCACCACUAUCUGCCAAGAGCACACCUGCCGGGCCUGCACAGAGCUCUUCUUCUUCCAUGGCGUCAACAGGGCACACAAGUGAUAUUAUUUGUCGUCGUUGUAAGGGAAGAGGACAUUUUGCGAGAGAAUGCAAAUCUCAGCGUGUGAUGAUUGCUACUGAGGAUGGUGGGUAUGAGUCUGCUAGUGACUAUGAUGAGGAGACUUUGGCUCUUAUUACAAAUGAGGAACACGGUGGAGAUGAUUCUGAUCAUGAGACACAAUACAAGGCUGCUGAAGAUGCUUACAGGUAUGAAUGUUUAGUUGCUCAACGUGUUUUGAGUGUGCAGGUUACACAAUCUCUGCAAAAUCAGAGGCAUAAUUUGUUCCAUACAAAGGGAGUUGUGAAGGAACGUUCUAUUCGCGUCAUCAUAGAUGGAGGGAGCUGCAACAACUUGGCUAGCAUGGAGAUGGUGGAGAAGCUAUCUCUCACCACAAGACCACAUCCACAUCCUUACUACAUCCAAUGGUUCAACAACAGCGGCAAGGUUAAGGUAACACGUACUAUUCGUGUGCAUUUUAGUAUCUCUACAUAUGCUGAUUAUGUUGAUUGUGAUGUGGUACCUAUGCAAGCAUGUUCCUUAUUACUUGGUAGACCAUGGCAAUUUGAUAAAAAUUCUAUACACCAUGGUAGAAACAAUCAGUAUACUCUUGUUCAUAAGGAUAAAAAUAUUACUUUGCUUCCUAUGACUCCUGAUUCCAUUUUGAAAGAUGAUAUUAAUAGAGCUAAUAAAGCAAAACAGCAAAAAAAUAAGACUGAAAAUCAGAUUGUGGUAAAAGAAUUUGAGCAACAAAUAAAGCCUAAUAAUAAACCAUCUACUGUUGCUUCUGAAAUUAAAUUGAAAAGUGCAUGUUUACUUGCCACCAAAUCUGAUAUUGAUGAGCUAGAUUUUAGCAAAUCUGGUUGCUAUGCUUUUGUGUGCAACGAGGCAUUAUUUUCAUUCGAGGAUGUGCCUUCCUCUUUUCCCCCCUUCUGUCACUAACAUUUUGCAGGAGUUCGCUGACGUCUUUCCACAAGACGUGCCACCGGGAUUACCAUCAAAUUCGUAUGAAAUUGGGAGAUGAAUGGAAAAUAGCAUUAAAACUAAGUUUGGUUUAUAUGAGUGGUUAGUCAUGCCUUUUGGGUUAACUAAUGCGCCUAGUACUUUCAUGAGACUAAUGAACGAAGUUUUACGUGCUUUCAUUGGACGAUUUGUGGUAGUCUAUUUUGAUGAUAUACUGAUUUAUAGCAAAUCUUUGGAAGAACAUUUGGAACAUUUACGUGCUGUUUUUUUUUGCUCUACGUGAUGCAUGUUUGUUUGGUAACCUUGGGAAGUGCACCUUUUGCACCGACCGAGUAUCUUUUCUUGGCUAUGUUGUUACUCCACAGGGAAUUGAAGUUGAUAAAGCCAAGAUUGAAGCUAUUGAGAGUUGGCCGCAGCCCAAAACGGUCACACAAGUGAGGAGUUUCGUUGGCCUCGCUGGUUUCUAUCAGCGUUUUGUGAGAGAUUUCAGCACCAUUGCUGCACCUCUCAACGAGCUUACAAAGAAGGAUGUGCCUUUUGUUUGGGGUACCGCACAGGAAGAAGCCUUCACGGUAUUGAAAGAUAAGUUGACACAUGCUCCUUUACUCCAACUUCCUGAUUUUAAUAAGACUUUUGAGCUUGAAUGUGAUGCUAGUGGAAUUGGAUUAGGAGGUGUGUUAUUACAAGAUGGCAAACAUGUUGCAUACUUUUCUGAAAAAUUGAGUGGGCCUAGUCUGAACUAUUCUACUUAUGAUAAAGAAUUAUAUGCUCUUGUUCGGACUUUAGAGACAUGGCAACAUUAUUUAUGGCCCAAAGAAUUUGUUAUACAUUCUGAUCAUGAAUCUUUGAAACAUAUUAAAAGUCAAGCUAAACCGAAUCGUAGACAUGCUAAAUGGGUGGAAUUCAUUGAGACUUUCCCUUAUGUCAUUGAACACAAGAAGGGUAAAGAAAAUGUUAUUGCUGAUGCUUUGUCUCGUCGCUAUACUAUGCUUUCACAACAUGCCUUCAAAAUAUUUGGUUUGGAGACCAUAAAAGAUCAAUAUGUGCAUGAUGCUGAUUUUAAAGAUGUAAUGCAGAAUUGUAAAGAAGGAAGGACAUGGAACAAGUUCGUUAUUAAUGAUGGCUUUGUGUUCCGUGCUAACAAGCUACGCAUUCCUGCUAGCUCUAUUCGUCUUUUGUUGUUGCAGGAGGCGCAUGGAGGAGGAUUAAUGGGACACUUUGGCGUGAAGAAGACAGAGGAUAUACUUGCUACACAUUUCUUUUGGCCAAAAAUAAGACGGGAUGUUGAGCGUUUUGUUGCUCGCUGCACUACAUGUCAAAAAGCUAAGUCACGACUCAAUCCUCAUGGUUUAUAUAUGCCUUUGCCUGUACCUACUGUUCCUUGGGAGGAUAUAUCUAUGGACUUUGUUUUAGGUUUACCUCGAACAAAGAAGGGGAGGGAUAGCAUAUUUGUUGUCGUGGAUAGAUUUUCGAAAAUGGCACACUUUAUACCAUGUCAUAAAAGCGAUGAUGCUGUUAAUGUUGCUGAUUUGUUCUUUCGGGAAAUUAUUUGCUUGCAUGGUGUGCCAAAUACUAUUGUUUCAGAUCGUGAUACUAAAUUCCUUAGCCACUUUUGGAGAUGUUUAUGGGCUAAGUUGGAGACUAAACUACUUUUUAGUACUACUUGUCACCCCCAAACUGAUGGACAAACUGAAGUAGUCAAUAGAACAUUGUCUACUAUGCUUAGGGCUGUUCUGAAGAAUAAUAAGAAAAUGUGGUAAGAAUGCUUGCCUCAUAUUGAAUUUGCUUAUAAUCGUUCAUUGCAUUCUACUACUAAGAUGUGCCCUUUUGAAAUUGUGUAUGGUUUCCUACCUCGUGCACCUAUUGAUUUGUUGCCUCUUCCAUGUUCGGAGAAGGUUAAUUUUGAUGCUAAACAACGCGCUGAAUUGAUCUUAAAAAUGCAUGAGUUAACUAAGGACAACAUUGAGCAUAUGAAUGCUAAAUAUAAACUUGCUGGAGAUGAGGGUAGAAAACAUGUUGUCUUUGCACCUGGAGAUCUUGUUUGGUUACAUUUGCGUAAGGAUAGGUUUCCUAAUUUGCACAAAUCAAAGCUAAUGCCACGUGCUGAUGGUCCUUUUAAGGUGUUAGAGAAAAUAAAUCACAAUGCAUAUAAACUUGAGCUGCCUGCAGAUUUUGGGGUUAGUCCCACUUUCAACAUUGCAGAUUUGAAGCCUUAUUUGGGUGAGGAAGAUGAGCUUCCGUCGAGGACGACUUCAUUUCAAGAAGGGGAGGGUGAUGAGGACAUCAGUACCAUUGUUACACCCACAGCCCCUACUACAACAUAUACUGGACCAAUUACUAGAGCUCGCGCAUGCCAAUUAAAUUAUCAGGUACUUUCGUUUCUUGGUAAUGAUUCUAAUAUUCAUGAGAAUAUGAUGCUGCCUAAAUUGGAUACAUUUGUUUUGCUUACAAAUGAAGGGCCUGGCAUGGAUAAGAGGGAUGAACAUUGGAGCAAGAACAAGCAUGGAGUUGAUGGCAUGCACAAGGGGAACAAGAACGGAGUUACAAGUGAUGAUUUCAGGACUUUGAAGCCACCAUAAUGAGUACAUGAAGCCUUGGACGAAAUAUACAAGAUGCCACUUCAUAAACUUCGUCUAGAGGCUAUUCUAGGUGCUGCGUCACCUUAUUAUUGGGCCAGGCCCAUGUAAUUUUGAAAUACAUAAGUAUAGGCUGUUUUUAGAGUUCGAAUGUGUGGGGAAACAAGAGAUGGGGUUGGUUUCGGACCCCUUCCCCAAGGGCCACGAAAUUCCCCCUCUUUCUCCAUAUAUAUAGCCCUUAGGGCACCGUUUAGACUUUGGGUUUUGCUUAGAUUAAAAGUUCACCAUAGCUGCAACUUCGCGCACUUCGUUUGUGUUCAACGACUAGACCAAGGCGUCACAGAACCCCACCUUGAUCAAUAAAGCUUUCCUCUUAUAUUCGCAAUAUCCAGAUUGCAAUCUUAGUUUCUUGCUUGUUCUUCGUUUGCCUGCAGGAAACAGACCUUCGUGGUCAGGUUGAUCGUUUUCCGGCGUGGUCAAUAACCUCUCGGAGUUGGUUUAGCGAUUGCUAAGGCGCGACGUCCUCGCACGUUCGUAGUCGGAUCGUCAAAGUCGACUUCAUCCUAAACUAUAGCCACCAUCUCAUCGAAAGACGGGACACCUUUGCCUCUAUUUACGGCGAUGAAGCAUGUCAUGAGAGCUCGUUUCGUGCCUACACACUACAAUCGUGAUCUCUUCAAGAAGUUGCAACUUCUCAAACAAGGCACGAAGACGGUGGAAGAAUACUACCAAGAAAUGGAGAUUGCCAUGAUUCGAGCCAAUGUCAAAGAAGACGACGAGCAAACAAUGGCACGCUUAUUGAAUGACCUCAACCAUCCAAUCAAGCGGAUUACAGACUUCCAACCAUACUCAAACCUCCUCGAGCUAGUUCAUCAAGCGACCAAGGCCGAGCGACAAGUCCAAGAUGACUUCAAAUAAGCCAAGUACUCGUCCAAGACCUACGGCUCCUCUUAUCAAGCUCCCGCGACUCCGGCAACUCCUACAUCAUCUAGAGCCUCACCAAGUACCGGCGACAAGUCAAGUUACAAGAAA